UCUCCCCUGGUCUACGACGUUGAAUAGUUUAGCUCAAUCUCGGGCAGAGCAAUAGCAUCCUAUUCUCAAUGGAAACCCGCAGUUUUACCCCGCCCCCACACACCCACCGACCUCUGUCUUUUGAACAGUUAGCUGCUAGGAUUUUUUUAACCCUUGCUCGCUACACGGAUACAAAACACGCCGUAUUUUUCGUUUGUAAACGCCGCCCCAGCUGGUCAGUCGUCAACCAGACUGGUAGUGUGGCUGCUCAGCCGAUGUCUUGUGGCUGUAUGUGUAGCCUCAUAAGCAUAGACACGAUUUAUUUAUUUUGAGAUUUUUAUUCUCUCCCGAGACGCGAAAGGGUAUUGACGAUUCGCUUCCUCGCUAUGCCAGAAUGCAGAUCAGGGUUCGAAACAGGAACAGGAGUCUUCAGUCUUCCCCGGCAAAGUGAAUACGACGUCCUUUCCAUGAAACGCUGACGAGUUUUCUAAGGAGGCGUCUGAGUUUGUUUGGCAUGUUCAAAUAUGCACAAGAAAUUCUGAGGCAUCGGUCUGAGUCCACUUGAGAGGCUGAAACGAACCAAGUGUGAACGUGCCCUCAAGGUUCCAGGUGAUUAUCCACAGUCUUUUUUUGCCCAUUUUGACCUGAUCUCCAGAAGUCAUAGAAGGCGUUUCUGAGGAGGCUGGGGCUGCAAGGCACUAUGCCCAUCAGAGUGCAGGUACUGUCAGUGUUCUGUGUGUGUUUGUGGUAUUUAUGAACUACUUGUAUGCCUUUUAGCCACAUGGACACGGGAAAACCUUUUCUUUCUGGAAGGUUACUGCUUUAUUUUUUUGACCUCCCUCAUAACAUGUUGGCUCAUUCUACUCUGGUUGUGGAAUGAGAGCCUAUAUAAAAGCAACCUGUUGGGGGGAAAACACUAUGGUCACAUAAAUGAAAAACAACAAACCACAAGACACGUUGCUCAGCAGACACGUAGAAGAAUCAAAAAUCAUCUGGGACCCCUUUUUGUGGUGGGGCACUGGGAGGUCAAGAUAAGGUCCAGGCAGUUUCCUUGAACUGGACAUGUGCAGUAAUGCCGUGCGACAUCACGUCCCACAGCUUUGGGCCUGGCUGUGGAUAAUGCUGAACAAAAGUGGCCAACCCUCUACCAGGGUCAGUCAAACUCCAGCUCCAGCCAUUACUGACGCUCAACUUUUUCGCUAUGUGUCUUUUGGCCUAAUUUAGUGGCCGUGUUGACACCUCAGCUCCUCUCCUUCAGCCGGCCAUCCACACAGAGAACCGUGAGCUCAUCAAAAAAGGAGAGCAAACCCUCUGUUCUGAAAGUGAUGCUUACAUUAAUUGACUAUGAGCCAUUUCAUCCAGAGGCUUCAUCAGCCUGAACAAGGUCCACAUUUCUGUGCUUUACUGAAACAGGUAUGCACAUUCACCCCUCAUUGAAGAGUGGAGUUACGGUCAUUAUUGAGAAAAUGGAGCACUGAUUGCAAAGUGCAGAGUGCAGUUACAGUAGCACCUGGCUGUCUAUGCCAUUUCUCUAUGUUGCUUCUCUCCUGUGGCAUUUGUCCCUCUGCUGUCUUAUAUGGAACAGGAGGUUAAAUUUUGAUCUUGUUGGAUUCUGCAAUUUUUUUUGAAAGAUUUUUACUUUUUUACUUGGUGUUCAUUAUUCAGGGA
Molecule: long non-coding RNA, 1647 nt
Organism: Anguilla rostrata (American eel)
Lineage: Eukaryota; Metazoa; Chordata; Actinopteri; Anguilliformes; Anguillidae
Exons: 3
Source: RefSeq, a predicted model, not a curated record